GUGUGUGUGUGUGUGUGUGUGUGUGUGUGUGUGUGUGUGUGUUACUACAGGCACACCCUCCUCCAUCUGGAUCACACACCAACCCUUACAUAACGCCGUCCCCACCCCUGCGCUGCAAAACAAAGGCUUCCUGCCAGCAGAAACAGCAGCCGAGUGUUUGUUUACACGAUGAGCGGGAACGCGUCUGUUUUUAUUUACACGUAAACAACCACGACAACAACGCCUCCUGACACAAAGAAAUCACUGUGUUUCACUGGUGAACCUGCAGAUGGGUUUUCUGUUUCAUCUGUUUCAUCACCUGAUCGACUCGUUACCGAACACAACAAGAGUAAACAAACAAAUAAACCUGUGAAUUACACUUUAAACUCUGGAUUAAUCCGGAUUAAUUGGUUUGUUUUCGUGCUUCGGCUCAUUUCGUGAAGAGAAAAGAGUAAAAAGUUGCAAGUGGAGGAUGAGGAGUUGGUUCUGCAGCUGCCGGCUGAUUGUUUCUGUGCAGCGACGUGUUCAGCAUGUUGAGCCACAACCUGCAGCUCGCUGCUGUUAAUGAUGCAUAAAGAGAGGAAGAGGAGGCAGCUUUACGUCUGUGUCACCUCUGAUCAGGAGAAGAGGAAGAGGAGGAGGAGGAGGAGGAUUCACCAUGAAGCUGAAAUAUUGAUCUCCACAGCAGGAGGCUGCGUGGGCGCAGACCUACAGAGGAGCAAGACGAUGAAGAGCGUUAAAGCUCCGGGGUGGUGGUAGCAGAGAGUCGUUCAGUAAAUCAAACAUUUAGGCUUGUUUCUGUUUUCACAGAAGAUACGAAGCUAAAUAUUUAGCAAAUAAAUAAUAAAAAGGUUUUCAUCCACAUAAAAACAACUCAGAUCACUGCAGUGACUCUUCCAGGCCUGUAGGUGGCGCUGUGACACGAGCAGAUCACAUCAGCAACAAAAGUUACAAGGUUUCAAAUUAAAUAAAACUAAUUUACAGCAAGAAAUUUAAAUAAGGUUAAAUGUCUAUAUAAUUAUAUUUUUAUUUAGCAUUUUACCGCUACAAACAAAAACAGGAAACAAGGAGCGCCGCGUGAAACUGCACUCAUGACCACUAAAUCCAACAUCCCGUCUGACACGCUGCUACAGAAAUAAACUUUCAUUUUUGUCACUUUUUAUCCAGUCACACACAUUAGCAGCUGCGUGUUAUUAACUCGCGUUGCUAAUAGCUAGCUUGGUUAGCUUAGCCACUUAGCACAAACCAUUCUUUUACAGUUUGUGAACAGAAGGCGCUAAAGUCAAAUCUGAGUGCUGGGUAACGAAACAUACAGUUUGCAGGUUGGGUUGGAGGCGGGGCUAUGACAUUGUUUUCAAAAGGUUGUGUUUUGGCUGUCUACACAAAAACAAAACGUUGGCGUUGCAAUAAAUAUAUAUAUUUUCUGGCAUAUUUUCAUUUCUUGGGUAGAUUAAAUCUAAGAUGGGAGAGAUACGCAAAAUGUACGAAACGACCAGGUCUGAACCGUACGAUUUGUCCAUCUGAAUGACAGUUCGUUACUGAGGAGAGGAUCAAAACAGGAAGUCAAACUACCACUAGCUUAGCUUAGCUUAGCUUAGCUUAACGGCUGGAAACAGCAGAAACGUCCUCUGCUGCUGAUUCAGUUGUUUUGUGUUUUUAAGCUGGUUGCAGUUGCCAGGCAACCGUCAAAUUCACCAGGAAGUAGCCCGUCCCGAUCGCUCAUCACUGAUAACAGAUAAAACUCACAACUUUCACUUUCAGGAUGAACCCAACAACCGUUCCAGUUCCAUCUGGUCCAUCUGGACCCACCAGGCUGCGGGUUUCAGGUCCAACAUGAAGGAACUCGUCCCCGACACGCCGCCGGAAAAAAAUCACUUUGAUGCAGAGAAGAUUUACUUUACAGGCCGAAGAAAAAAACUUCACAAAUUCAUGAACGAGAGCAGAACCUUCAGAACCAGAGAAACCCGGUGACACAGAACCAAAGUUCAGCUCAGACACAAGCAGACUGAAAGCAGAAGCCGGACCGUACCUGAUCAGAGGAAGAGGAGUGAAACCGGUUUCCUGCCAGUUCAGACUCGCUCACGGAGAACCCCCCAACAUUCCUGACCCACAAGAACCGCAGAACCUCCCGGUCCGUCCAUCUUCUCACACAGCUGCGUCUGAGCGCUCCUCUCUGUCCUUCGUCACUGCAGCUCCCCCCUCCUCCUCCUCCUCCUCCUCCUCCUCCUGGGUUUAAUCCAUCCUCUAACGAGGGAGAACCUCCCAGCUCGACUUCCCCGGGUCCAACAGAACCGCUGAGAACAGCUCAGCUCUUUCCUCCUCAGCGACCUGAGAUUAGCUGCUAACAUACAUGUGGAUAUAAAUACUGCUCAAUCUGCAGCCGACCAAUCAGAGCGCAGCGCAGGAGGCAAACAGCCGAAGCUGCAAACAGCCGAAGCUGUUUGUCAACAAACAUUCUGUCACUCAGAGAACUUCGGCUGCUUUUCUUUACGUCACAAACUUUGAAAUAAAAAAUAAUAUUCCUCAGGUUCUGAUGGAGCUCAUCUGAACCCAGUCCAGACCUGGUCCACAUUGGUUAAUCAAUUAGCUGUUCUGGACUGAGACCUGUUUGAAGGUCCCAUCAACAAACCAGGACCAGGAUCAAAACCAGAAACUAACCAGGAAAAACCAGUGAGGAAUGGACCCAGCAAAGAAACUCCGCCCACAUUUACCAGAUGACCUGUCUGAUCCCUGACUCCGCCCACAGUUACCUGAUGACCUGUCUGAUCCCUGACUCCGCCCACAGUUACCUGAUGACCUGUCUUAUCCCUGACUCCGCCCACAGUUACCCGAUGACCUGUCUGAUCCCUGACUCCGCCCACAGUUACCUGAUGACCUGUCUUAUCCCUGACUCCGACCACAUUUACCCGAUCACCUGUCUGAUCCCUGACUCCGCCCACAGUUACGUAUAUAAAACCAACUGAAUUGCAGCCAUUCUUCUGUUGCUGAAGACAGAUAUUUUGCUAACAGAGACACAAAAGCUUCAACCAUGACUGUCUGCUUUCAGCUGUAGCUGUUAGCAAUCAAAAGCAGCUGAAAGGAAUAAAAGCUGUUCAGCUAUUUCAGCCGAAGUGUCGUCAGGUCUUUAUUUUUAAAGACUCUGAUGGUUUUUGGUUUCCUUGUUGUUGAAUAAAAACAGCAGCUGUGAUUGGCUAAA
This is a long non-coding RNA of Austrofundulus limnaeus, 3175 nucleotides long. RefSeq lists it as uncharacterized. The record is from RefSeq and is a predicted model, not a curated record. The transcript has 2 exons. Lineage: Eukaryota; Metazoa; Chordata; Actinopteri; Cyprinodontiformes; Rivulidae.